This 22-nucleotide microRNA is filed under the name Homo sapiens (human). RNAcentral's name for it is "hsa-miR-8082". Lineage: Eukaryota; Metazoa; Chordata; Mammalia; Primates; Hominidae. The record is from miRBase by way of RNAcentral.
UGAUGGAGCUGGGAAUACUCUG